GGGUUGUGAGGUUAAGCGACUAAGCGUACACGGUGGAUGCCCUGGCAGUCAGAGGCGAUGAAGGACGUGCUAAUCUGCGAUAAGCGUCGGUAAGGUGAUAUGAACCGUUAUAACCGGCGAUUUCCGAAUGGGGAAACCCAGUGUGAUUCGUCACACUAUCAUUAACUGAAUCCAUAGGUUAAUGAGGCGAACCGGGGGAACUGAAACAUCUAAGUACCCCGAGGAAAAGAAAUCAACCGAGAUUCCCCCAGUAGCGGCGAGCGAACGGGGAGCAGCCCAGAGCCUGAAUCAGUGUGUGUGUUAGUGGAAGCGUCUGGAAAGGCGCGCGAUACAGGGUGACAGCCCCGUACACAAAAAUGCACAUACUGUGAGCUCGAUGAGUAGGGCGGGACACGUGGUAUCCUGUCUGAAUAUGGGGGGACCAUCCUCCAAGGCUAAAUACUCCUGACUGACCGAUAGUGAACCAGUACCGUGAGGGAAAGGCGAAAAGAACCCCGGCGAGGGGAGUGAAAAAGAACCUGAAACCGUGUACGUACAAGCAGUGGGAGCACAGAGCAAUCUGUGUGACUGCGUACCUUUUGUAUAAUGGGUCAGCGACUUAUAUUCUGUAGCAAGGUUAACCGAAUAGGGGAGCCGAAGGGAAACCGAGUCUUAACUGGGCGUUAAGUUGCAGGGUAUAGACCCGAAACCCGGUGAUCUAGCCAUGGGCAGGUUGAAGGUUGGGUAACACUAACUGGAGGACCGAACCGACUAAUGUUGAAAAAUUAGCGGAUGACUUGUGGCUGGGGGUGAAAGGCCAAUCAAACCGGGAGAUAGCUGGUUCUCCCCGAAAGCUAUUUAGGUAGCGCCUCGUGAAUUCAUCUCCGGGGGUAGAGCACUGUUUCGGCAAGGGGGUCAUCCCGACUUACCAACCCGAUGCAAACUGCGAAUACCGGAGAAUGUUAUCACGGGAGACACACGGCGGGUGCUAACGUCCGUCGUGAAGAGGGAAACAACCCAGACCGCCAGCUAAGGUCCCAAAGUCAUGGUUAAGUGGGAAACGAUGUGGGAAGGCCCAGACAGCCAGGAUGUUGGCUUAGAAGCAGCCAUCAUUUAAAGAAAGCGUAAUAGCUCACUGGUCGAGUCGGCCUGCGCGGAAGAUGUAACGGGGCUAAACCAUGCACCGAAGCUGCGGCAGCGACGCUUAUGCGUUGUUGGGUAGGGGAGCGUUCUGUAAGCCUGCGAAGGUGUGCUGUGAGGCAUGCUGGAGGUAUCAGAAGUGCGAAUGCUGACAUAAGUAACGAUAAAGCGGGUGAAAAGCCCGCUCGCCGGAAGACCAAGGGUUCCUGUCCAACGUUAAUCGGGGCAGGGUGAGUCGACCCCUAAGGCGAGGCCGAAAGGCGUAGUCGAUGGGAAACAGGUUAAUAUUCCUGUACUUGGUGUUACUGCGAAGGGGGGACGGAGAAGGCUAUGUUGGCCGGGCGACGGUUGUCCCGGUUUAAGCGUGUAGGCUGGUUUUCCAGGCAAAUCCGGAAAAUCAAGGCUGAGGCGUGAUGACGAGGCACUACGGUGCUGAAGCAACAAAUGCCCUGCUUCCAGGAAAAGCCUCUAAGCAUCAGGUAACAUCAAAUCGUACCCCAAACCGACACAGGUGGUCAGGUAGAGAAUACCAAGGCGCUUGAGAGAACUCGGGUGAAGGAACUAGGCAAAAUGGUGCCGUAACUUCGGGAGAAGGCACGCUGAUAUGUAGGUGAAGUCCCUCGCGGAUGGAGCUGAAAUCAGUCGAAGAUACCAGCUGGCUGCAACUGUUUAUUAAAAACACAGCACUGUGCAAACACGAAAGUGGACGUAUACGGUGUGACGCCUGCCCGGUGCCGGAAGGUUAAUUGAUGGGGUUAGCGCAAGCGAAGCUCUUGAUCGAAGCCCCGGUAAACGGCGGCCGUAACUAUAACGGUCCUAAGGUAGCGAAAUUCCUUGUCGGGUAAGUUCCGACCUGCACGAAUGGCGUAAUGAUGGCCAGGCUGUCUCCACCCGAGACUCAGUGAAAUUGAACUCGCUGUGAAGAUGCAGUGUACCCGCGGCAAGACGGAAAGACCCCGUGAACCUUUACUAUAGCUUGACACUGAACAUUGAGCCUUGAUGUGUAGGAUAGGUGGGAGGCUUUGAAGUGUGGACGCCAGUCUGCAUGGAGCCGACCUUGAAAUACCACCCUUUAAUGUUUGAUGUUCUAACGUUGACCCGUAAUCCGGGUUGCGGACAGUGUCUGGUGGGUAGUUUGACUGGGGCGGUCUCCUCCUAAAGAGUAACGGAGGAGCACGAAGGUUGGCUAAUCCUGGUCGGACAUCAGGAGGUUAGUGCAAUGGCAUAAGCCAGCUUGACUGCGAGCGUGACGGCGCGAGCAGGUGCGAAAGCAGGUCAUAGUGAUCCGGUGGUUCUGAAUGGAAGGGCCAUCGCUCAACGGAUAAAAGGUACUCCGGGGAUAACAGGCUGAUACCGCCCAAGAGUUCAUAUCGACGGCGGUGUUUGGCACCUCGAUGUCGGCUCAUCACAUCCUGGGGCUGAAGUAGGUCCCAAGGGUAUGGCUGUUCGCCAUUUAAAGUGGUACGCGAGCUGGGUUUAGAACGUCGUGAGACAGUUCGGUCCCUAUCUGCCGUGGGCGCUGGAGAACUGAGGGGGGCUGCUCCUAGUACGAGAGGACCGGAGUGGACGCAUCACUGGUGUUCGGGUUGUCAUGCCAAUGGCACUGCCCGGUAGCUAAAUGCGGAAGAGAUAAGUGCUGAAAGCAUCUAAGCACGAAACUUGCCCCGAGAUGAGUUCUCCCUGACUCCUUGAGAGUCCUGAAGGAACGUUGAAGACGACGACGUUGAUAGGCCGGGUGUGUAAGCGCAGCGAUGCGUUGAGCUAACCGGUACUAAUGAACCGUGAGGCUUAACCUUACAACGCCGAAGGUGUUU
Molecule: ribosomal RNA, 2933 nt
Filed under: Escherichia coli
Lineage: Bacteria; Pseudomonadati; Pseudomonadota; Gammaproteobacteria; Enterobacterales; Enterobacteriaceae
Description: bacterial LSU rRNA
Rfam family: Bacterial large subunit ribosomal RNA
Source: RNAcentral